This 475-nucleotide ribosomal RNA is filed under the name uncultured organism. RNAcentral describes it as "partial 16S ribosomal RNA". It matches the Rfam family "Bacterial small subunit ribosomal RNA", at positions 333 to 799 of the family's 1533-position model. The record is from RNAcentral.
ACACUCCUGCGGGAGGCAGCAGUGGGGAAUUUUGGACAAUGGGCGAAAGCCUGAUCCAGCAAUGCCGCGUGAGUGAAGAAGGCCUUCGGGUUGUAAAGCUCUUUUGUCAGGGAAGAAACGGUGAAAGCUAAUAUCUUUUGCUAAUGACGGUACCUGAAGAAUAAGCACCGGCUAACUACGUGCCAGCAGCCGCGGUAAUACGUAGGGUGCAAGCGUUAAUCGGAAUUACUGGGCGUAAAGCGUGCGCAGGCGGUUUUGUAAGUCUGAUGUGAAAUCCCCGGGCUCAACCCGGGAAUUGCAUUGGAGACUGCAAGGCUAGAAUCUGGCAGAGGGGGGUAGAAUUCCACGUGUAGCAGUGAAAUGCGUAGAUAUGUGGAGGAACACCGAUGGCGAAGGCAGCCCCCUGGGUCAAGAUUGACGCUCAUGCACGAAAGCGUGGGGAGCAAACAGGAUUAGAAACCCCUGUAGUCCCAUG